GAAGGAACCCAGACUCCCUUGUUUCUAAGGGUACCAAUCCACACCCCAGGACAAGGAUUAUUUUAACACUUUGACCCUGGUAACUAUAACUAGAAACUAGGCCCAUAAAAAAACAGACAAAACUACAACAAAUGAGAGUAUAUAACCAAUCAGAUUCACUGAAGAGCAAGCUUAUACCAGACAAGAAAUGAUAAAAAUUAGGCAGCAGGAAAAAUAGGGGCCGCGCAUGCAAAGCAAGUGCCGGUAGCUUCCCUGCCCCUCCCGCAACGCUUGACCCCGGGAUCCCCCCGGCUUGCCUGCCCGCCAUGGCCAACAAGGAAGCCUUUGAUGACGCAGAAGAACGUGUAAUCAACGAAGAGUACAAAAUAUGGAAAAAGAACACCCCUUUUCUUUAUGAUUUGGUGAUGACCCAUGCUCUGGAGAGGCCUAGCCUAACUGCACAGUGGCUUCUAGAUGUAACCAGACCAGAAGAGAAAGACUUCAGCAUUCACCAACUUGUCCUGGGAACACACACGUUAGAUGAACAAAACCAUCUUGUGAUAGCCAGUGUGCAGCUCCCUAACGAUGAUGCUCAGUUUGAUGUUUCACACUAGGACAGUGAGAAAGGAGAAUUUGGAGGUUUUGGCUCAGUUAGUGGAAAAACUGAAAUAGAAAUCAGGAUCAACCAUGAAGAAGUAAACCGGGCUCAUUAUAUGCCCAGAACGCUUGCAUCAUUGCAACAAAGACUCCAUCCAGUGAUGUUCUUGUUUUUGACUAUACAAAGCAUCCUUCCAAACCAGAUCCUUCUGGAGAAAGCAACCCAGACUUGCAUCUGCAUGGACAUCAGAAGGAAGGCUAUGGACUUUCUUGGAACCCAAAUCUCAGUGGGCACUUACUUGGUGCUUCAGAUGACCAUACCAUCUGCCUCUGGGACAUCAGUGCUGUUCCAAAGGAAGGAAAAGUGGUGGAUGCGAAGACCAUCUUUACAGGACAUACAGCGGUAGUAGAAGAUGUUUCCUGGCAUCUGCUCCAUGAGUCUCUGUUUGGGUCAGUUGCUGAUGAUCAGAAACAUGAUCUGGGAUACUCGUUCAAACAAUACUUCCAAACAAAGCCACUCAUUUGAUGCUCACACUGCUGAAGUGAACUGCAUAUCUUUCAAUCCUUAUAGUGAGUUCAUUCUGGCCACAGGAUCAGCCGACAAGACUGUUGCCUUGUGGGAUCUGAGAAAUCUGAAACUUAAGUUGCAUUCCUUUGAAUCACAUAAGGAUGAAAUAUUCCAGGUUCAGUAGUUGCCUCACAAUGAGACUAUUUUGGCUUCCAGUGGUACUGAUUGCAGACAAUGUCUGGGAUUUAAGUAAAAUUGGAGAGGAACAAUCCCUAGAAGAUGCAGAAGAUGGGCCACCAGAACUGUUGUUUAUUCAUGGUGGUCACACUGCCAAGAUAUCUGAUUUCUCCUGGAAUCCCAAUGAACCUUGGGUGAUUUGUUCUGUAUCAGAAGACAAUAUCAUGCAAGUGUGGCAAAUGGAAGAGAACAUUUAUAAUGAUGAAGAUCCUGAAGGAAGCGUGGAUCCAGAAGGACAAGGGUCCUAGAUAUGUCUGCACUUCUUGUGAUUUUAGACUCCCCCUUUUUUUUCCUCUCAACCCUGAGAUUGAUUUAACACUGGUUUUGAGACACAGACUUUGUUUGGCUAUCCCUCUAUGAUAGGUACCAUCCCAUCAACAAUGUUACUAGCCCAAACAGAGGGUGUUUUCUAAAUAUUAACUGGGGGACUUGAUUCAGUAAAGCCACAGACUUAUAUUUAAAUUUUCUUUAGGAAUUUUCUAGUAACAAAGGUCUAAAGUAGGCACAGAAAGGGGAAUGUUAUGUGUGGUUAUUUUUCUUCUUAGGCUAUAUCCCCAAGUUUUUCAGACUCCUUUAAGUAAAGACUAAAGUAAGGAAGGAGUAGAGCCAAGUGAGGUAGGUGUCUGAGCCAUGAAGUAUAAAUACCACAAGAUGUCGUUUUUAUUCAGGAAAUGGGGGAAAUUCAAUUCAUAUAAAUUCCUAUUCUAAAAUUUUCACACCUGACUUUCCAGGAUGCACAUUUUCCUAUGUAGACCAGUCUCCUCUCAGUUUCAUCAGUUAAGUCAAAACUAUGUGUUCCUCUUUCCCCCAUAUAUUUUUGCUUGUUAGUGUAUUUCUUGAGCUGUUUUCAUAUUUCUUUCCUUUCUGUGAAAUGUUUUUUUAAAAAACUUGGGACCACCAAGUUGUAAAGAUGUAUGUUUUUACCUGACAGUUAUACCACAGGUAGACUGUCCAGUUGAGUUGAGAAGAGUGAAUUGAUAGCUUGUAUUUGUUUUUAAAGUUAAAUUAAUCCUGGAUAAGAGUUGCUUUUUUUUUUUUUUUAAGGAGUUAGUCUUUGACCACUAGUUUGGUACCAUCUCUAUUUUGGGUGACCUGUUUCACCAGCAGGCCUGUUACUCUCCAUGACUAACUGUGUAAAUGCUUAUAAUGGAAUAAAUUGCUUUUCUACGUAAAAAAAAAAAGAAAAGAAAAGAAAAGAAAAAGAAAUGAUAAAAAUUAGAAUAGAUUCCAACAAAUUUAAAUGGACACAGAAACCCAGUGGCCAUUAGAUUUAUGGCCCAAAGAAAAUCAAAACAUGGUCUUCCCAGGGGUGGAGAUUGCAGAACUUGGACCCAUAACCAUUGAUGCAAAAUUGAAUCAAUACCUUAUAGCAUUUGGAGAAAAUAAUAUUUUACAAAGAUCUUUGUUUGAGUAGCAGCAACCUGGAGAUUAAGAUGGCCUAUACCGGGGCACCUGGGUGGCUCAGUCAUUAAGCGUCUGCCUUCGGCUCAGGUGGUGAUCCCAGAGUCCUGGGAUUGAGCCCCUCAUCGGGCUCCCUGCUCGGCGGGAAGCCUGCUUCUCCCUCUCCUGCUCCCCCUGCUUGUGUUCCCUCUCUCGCUGUGUCUCCCUCUGUCAAAUAAAUAAAUAAAAUCUUUUAAAAAAAUAAAAAAAUAAAAUAAAAAAAAGAUGGCCUAUACCUAAUGUAUUAUUACUUAAAACAUCUUCAUGGAAGAUAGAACCCAAGAUGGAGGUGGAGAAGGAGGACCCUAGGCUCAUCUCAUGCCAUGAACACAUCUAGAUAACUAUCAAUCAUCCUAAAUACCCCAGAAAUCAAUCUGAAGACUGAUAGAACAAACUUCACAACUAAAGGGGGAGAAGAGGCCACAUCAAAGUAGGUAGGAAGUAUAGAGACAUGGUUUAAGGGAGAACCACAUUUCAGGUGCUGCAGAGAGGAGGGAGCC
Molecule: RNA transcript, 3261 nt
Organism: Mirounga angustirostris (Northern elephant seal)
Lineage: Eukaryota; Metazoa; Chordata; Mammalia; Carnivora; Phocidae
Gene name: histone-binding protein RBBP4-like
Exons: 1
Source: RefSeq, a predicted model, not a curated record